UGCAUGGACCACGUAUGGUUGAGUGUCGUA
RNAcentral lists this ribosomal RNA (30 nucleotides) under Phlebotomus perniciosus. Its description in RNAcentral is "2S ribosomal RNA". RNAcentral also lists the same sequence under 7 other names. The record is from RNAcentral. Lineage: Eukaryota; Metazoa; Arthropoda; Insecta; Diptera; Psychodidae.